GAACGCUGGCGGCAGGCCUAACACAUGCAAGUCGAGCGGUAGCACAGGGAGCUUGCUCCUGGGUGACGAGCGGCGGACGGGUGAGUAAUGUCUGGGAAACUGCCUGAUGGAGGGGGAUAACUACUGGAAACGGUAGCUAAUACCGCAUAACGUCUUCGGACCAAAGAGGGGGACCUUCGGGCCUCUUGCCAUCAGAUGUGCCCAGAUGGGAUUAGCUAGUAGGUGAGGUAAUGGCUCACCUAGGCGACGAUCCCUAGCUGGUCUGAGAGGAUGACCAGCCACACUGGAACUGAGACACGGUCCAGACUCCUACGGGAGGCAGCAGUGGGGAAUAUUGCACAAUGGGCGCAAGCCUGAUGCAGCCAUGCCGCGUGUAUGAAGAAGGCCUUCGGGUUGUAAAGUACUUUCAGCGAGGAGGAAGGCAUUGUGGUUAAUAACCGCAGUGAUUGACGUUACUCGCAGAAGAAGCACCGGCUAACUCCGUGCCAGCAGCCGCGGUAAUACGGAGGGUGCAAGCGUUAAUCGGAAUUACUGGGCGUAAAGCGCACGCAGGCGGUCUGUCAAGUCGGAUGUGAAAUCCCCGGGCUCAACCUGGGAACUGCAUUCGAAACUGGCAGGCUAGAGUCUUGUAGAGGGGGGUAGAAUUCCAGGUGUAGCGGUGAAAUGCGUAGAGAUCUGGAGGAAUACCGGUGGCGAAGGCGGCCCCCUGGACAAAGACUGAC
This 722-nucleotide ribosomal RNA is filed under the name Buttiauxella sp. RNAcentral's name for it is "bacterial SSU rRNA". It matches the Rfam family "Bacterial small subunit ribosomal RNA", at positions 31 to 744 of the family's 1533-position model. The record is from RNAcentral. Lineage: Bacteria; Pseudomonadati; Pseudomonadota; Gammaproteobacteria; Enterobacterales; Enterobacteriaceae.